This is a small nuclear RNA of Centruroides sculpturatus (bark scorpion), 166 nucleotides long. RefSeq annotates it as U1 spliceosomal RNA. NCBI's taxonomy places the organism in Eukaryota, Metazoa, Arthropoda, Arachnida, Scorpiones, Buthidae. The record is from RefSeq and is a predicted model, not a curated record. The transcript has a single exon.
AUUUUUCGUGCCGCCGGUCGUUCGGCGGCACGAAAAAUGUCGGCUCCCCCGGGGUCAGGCUCGACCAUUGCACUCGGGUCUGGCCGACCCCUGCCACUACCCCAAAAUGGAGUAGAUGGGGCGUGUAAUUUGUUGUAGCCGGGGAUUGCGCUGGCGCUCUCCCCUU